RNAcentral lists this ribosomal RNA (497 nucleotides) under uncultured bacterium. RNAcentral describes it as "partial 16S ribosomal RNA". It matches the Rfam family "Bacterial small subunit ribosomal RNA", at positions 28 to 507 of the family's 1533-position model. The record is from RNAcentral.
GAUGAACGCUGGCGGCGUGCCUAAUACAUGCAAGUCGAGCGAACAGACGAGGAGCUUGCUCCUCUGGCGUUAGCGGCGGACGGGUGAGUAACACGUGGAUAACCUACCUAUAAGACUGGGAUAACUUCGGGAAACCGGAGCUAAUACCGGAUAAUAUAUUGAACCGCAUGGUUCAAUAGUGAAAGACGGUUUUGCUGUCACUUAUAGAUGGAUCCGCGCCGCAUUAGCUAGUUGGUAAGGUAACGGCUUACCAAGGCAACGAUGCGUAGCCGACCUGAGAGGGUGAUGGCCCACACUGGAAGUGAGACAGGUCCCAGACCCCUAGGGGGGGCGACAGAGGGGAAUCUUCCGCAAUGGGGGAAUGUUUGAGGAAGCAACGCCGGGGGAGUAAUAAAGUUUUUCGGAUCUAAAACCUUUGUUAUUGGGGAAAAAAAAAUGUGAAAGAACCUAUGCACGUCUUGACGGUACCUAAUAAGAAAGCCCCGGCUAACUCCGUG